AUAUUUGAAUGAAAAAAUACGAUUCGGUUGGUAGUCCGAAUGCAUCACAAUUUUGAUGUCAAUAACCUUCCCCUCCUUGGGAUGUCCAUCAUUCGAGAUUAAUAU
RNAcentral lists this non-coding RNA (105 nucleotides) under Viridibacillus arenosi. RNAcentral describes it as "Azaaromatic sequence". It matches the Rfam family "azaaromatic riboswitch aptamer (yjdF RNA)". Lineage: Bacteria; Bacillati; Bacillota; Bacilli; Caryophanales; Caryophanaceae. The record is from RNAcentral. RNAcentral also lists the same sequence under 1 other name.